GUCAUUCGCGUAUUAGUAAAUAUAUUUUGUAUUAAUAGGAAUGUUAAUGAAUAUCAAAAAAGAGUUUAGUUUUUGUAUUAACAUAUGGUAAAGAUUAAUUACGUUCAACAUAAACAAAAAUUAACGAAUAUCUUUUGUAUUGAUAAAUGGUAACUAUUAACCAUUCAAAAACAAAAACAAAAACAAGAAAACUGUACAAAAAGUCAUAUCUUUUGUCUAACAUUUGUGAUAUAACUGUUUCUAAAAAAAAAAAUUGGGAGAAAAGAAUAUAAAAUUUCUAGACGACAUCCUACACUCGAGUAUUUUGACAUACAAGUAGGCCAUCGAUGCCAGAGCGUUUAGCAUAGGCUUUAGUAUUAAAAUCUUACUAGGCUGCUAAAAC
This 382-nucleotide long non-coding RNA is filed under the name Brassica rapa (field mustard). RNAcentral's name for it is "long non-coding RNA (BRAP_LNC002213)". Lineage: Eukaryota; Viridiplantae; Streptophyta; Magnoliopsida; Brassicales; Brassicaceae. The record is from RNAcentral.